Molecule: ribosomal RNA, 253 nt
Filed under: uncultured bacterium
Lineage: Bacteria
Description: partial 16S ribosomal RNA
Rfam family: Bacterial small subunit ribosomal RNA
Source: RNAcentral
UACAGAGGCCACAAGCGUUAGUCGGAAUCACUGGGCUUAAAGGGUGCGUAGGUGGGCUUGCAAGCGUUUUGUGAAAGCCCGUAGCUCAACUACGGAACAGCAGAGCGAACUGCAAGUCUUGAGGCAGGUAAGGGCCGGAAGAACAAACGGUGGAGCGGUGAAAUGCGUAGAUAUCGUUUGGAAUGCCGAUGGGGAAGCCGUCCGGCUGGGCCUGUCCUGACACUGAGGCACGAAAGCGUGGGGAGCAAACAGG